CCUACGGGAGGCUGCAGUGGGGAAUAUUGGACAAUGGGCGCAAGCCUGAUCCAGCCAUGCCGCGUGGAUGAUGAAGGCCCUAGGGUUGUAAAGUCCUUUCGGCGGGGAAGCGGUACCCGCAGAAGAAGCCCCGGCUAACUUCGUGCCAGCAGCCGCGGGAAUACGAAGGGGGCUAGCGUUGCUCGGAAUCACUGGGCGUAAAGCGCACGUAGGCGGCUUUCUAAGUCAGGGGUGAAAUCCUGGAGCUCAACUCCAGAACUGCCUUUGAUACUGGAGAGCUAGAGUCCGGAAGAGGUGAGUGGAACUGCGAGUGUAGAGGUGAAAUUCGUAGAUAUUCGCAAGAACACCAGUGGCGAAGGCGGCUCACUGGUCCGGACUGACGCUGAGGUGCGAAAGCGUGGGGAGCAAACAGGAUUAAUACCCUUGUAGUC
RNAcentral lists this ribosomal RNA (431 nucleotides) under uncultured bacterium. RNAcentral describes it as "partial 16S ribosomal RNA". It matches the Rfam family "Bacterial small subunit ribosomal RNA", at positions 338 to 795 of the family's 1533-position model. The record is from RNAcentral.